GCCAGAAUGAGGGGGAGGCGUGGUUUGAGUGAGCGAUUGACAGGGAGGAGAAACAAAUGGACAAGGAAAGAAAGGGGAAUGUGAAAUAGAGGAUAGAAGCUUGUCUUGGGGAAAGAAGGGACUUAGGAAGAGAGCCAGUGUGCUCACUUACUCCAGCAAGUAGGGGUCCUGGCAGGGAUGGAACACUUGCUGCUGUGGAGCCCAUAAGUGGCUGCCUAGUUCUGGAGGCUGGGAAGUCCAAGACCAAGAUGCUGGCAGGUUUGGUGUCUGGUGGGAGCCUACUUCCUAGAUGGCCAUCUUGUUGCUGUAACCUCACAUGGUGGAAGGGACAAGGGAGUUUCCUUGGGCUUCUUUUAUAAGGACACUAAUCUCACGCAUGAGAGCUUUACCCAGAUGAUCUAAUCACCUCCUAAUACUGUUGCCUUGGGGGUUAGGUUUCAGCAUAUGAAUUUUGGAGGAACGCAAACGUUCAGACCAUAACAGAACCAUAAAGGACUCACUGCUUAGGUCAUGUCAAAUGCGUGCAGGUGAAGUGAUCACCCCUUUAUUCUUCAGGACUGAAGCAGACCACAGCCUUCUAUCUUGUCUCUUAGACUGGCUUGCCUGCCCUCCCUUAUUGUUUUAAACUGUGUUUAACCAUUCUUCUGAUUGGUGUGCAGGAUCCCUAUAACUUAGAUGUUCAUUUAAUCUAUACAUGAUGCGGAAGCCAAGGGAGAAUUCAGAGAAUUUGAAAGGGUGAGUAGGAGCCAGCUGCCAGAAGGCACAGGGGAAGAGCUUUCCAGGCAGAUGGAAUAAGGAGGGAAAGGCUCUAAGGCAGUGACCUUGGUGAGUUCAGGAAACAGAGGUCCCUUGAGGCUGGAGCACAUAACUAGGGGGGAAGUGGCUUGAAAUGAAGUCAGAGAGGAAAUCAGGGGUCCAACUACAGUUGCGGAUAGUGGGGCUUGCAGCGUAGGGUAUGAAAUCUGGGCAGGGGUGGCUGCUGGAAAAGACAAGAAUGUCCCCUUAAGGGCCCCAAUUUAAAAUUGCGGAACAGCAGAGGAGAUGAACCUAGCUAAACCUCCUAAAUGAAGAUGACGUGGGGUAUACAGGAGGAAACACAAAGACCUCUACUUUGCACCAGAGUGCCAUGUCCUAAAGAACAUUAUUAAGAGCCAUACCAACUUCUCAAACCCAGAAAAUGAAGGGCAUUUGAGAGGAUGUUUAGACCACAAACCCAAUUCAAAGCUGCAGACUGCCUUAAGUGACUUCCUCUGGAGGACUCCGUGGGGCAUCCACCUCUGAGGAUGGAGAUGCACCUUCCCAUUGUUUUCUCUGUAGAAAAGUGGGCAAUCUUUUAUAUUGUUGAUGGCAGUACAUGGAAGUUUAAUACUCACUAGCUCAGGGCUUGUCCUCUAAAAGUUUAUAACUAGACUAUAUACAUAAGGUUUUAACCCAUUAUCUGAUGGUGGGUAUAGUUGCAGUGGAGGAUAAAGUCCAGAAGGGUAAAAAAUACUGGAGCGUCAUAUCACCCUGUAGAUUUCAGAGUCCUAAUGAGUUUCUAUGCAACCCUCGCCUUAACUAUUCCACUUGAGAGAAAAUGAUCAUAUAAAGCCCUUAAAUGUUUGUUUUUAAAGGGCUUAUUUUUAAGUUAUUUACCCCUUCUGUCUGGGGUUUCUACACUGUUGUCCCCUUGUACUAAGCCACCAUAAUCUCUCAUCAGGACUAUCGCAAUAACUAAUUUAUCUUUCUGCUUCCACACCUACAUCCUUACAGGCUGUUUCUCAAACAGCAGUCUGAGUGAAUCUUCUAAACACUAAAUCAGGACUUUUUUUUCCCUGUAAUGGUGGGCUAGGUUGUCUGGGUCAACCCUCUGGCUGAAAACAAUUUGAAAAGAAAAACGGACAAAAUAUAAGAAACAUUUUCUUAAGAUUAGUGACGAGAUGACAAAACAAUAAAGAAUUAUAAGGGAAGACUUAAGAAGGGUAAGAAGUCAUGGGAGCCACCCUUGCCUUGAAGAUACUUGUAUAUUCCCCAGACAAGAAUGUUUUGACAGCAUCGUGAUUCCCAGAGUAGAGAAGUCGAAGCCGGGGGCUGGCAAAGUAGAGAGUCUAAUGGGAGACUGUGGUGAAUAGGCUCUAAGGUAUCCCCCCACCCCCACCAAAUGUAGGGGAAGGGACCUGUGACUUUAAUCUAACCAAGAGAAUAUGGCAAAGUGAUGGGACGUCACUCCCGUGAUAUGUUAUAAAAGUCUCAGUCUUGUUAGUAGACACAAGGCAAGGAGCUUAAGACAGCUUCUAGCUAGAAAUUAAAACCACAGAUUCAAGAAAUCCUAUGAAUCCCAACCAAUACAGAGGAAAUCAAUACCUAGAGUCAUAAUGAGACUGUAGAAAACAGAAUAAGAGAAAAGCUUAAAAGCUGCUAGAGAAAAGGAUAAGUUAUCUUUAAGAAAGGUGCAUGGUACAUGGGAGAUGCUUAAUAAAUAUUUUUAAGUGAAUAAACAACUACACUAUAUCUGGGAGAUUUUCUGCUUACUAGCACUAUAACUUGUGUCACUUGACCUCUUUGAAACUCAAUCUCCUAAUGUGAAAACAUGGAUAACAAAAUCUACUUUAUAAGGACAGGUGUCAGGAUUAAAUUUGUAUUGAGUUACACACAGAACAUCCACAGCUCCUAGUAUAUGUUAAGUGCUCCUGUUCUCUCAGAUUCUCUCCCAAAUUUGAGUUUCUUGUCUGUUCUAUGCAAAUUUACUCUCUAAUCUAGAUCUCCAGUCCAGGCUUUCUUCCCAGUUCCAAACAUCCAUCUUGAAAUACUUCUAUAUCUAAAAUAUAUUUGCUUCCUUCCCUUUUAAAGGGCUGGAGGCUUCAGAAAAACAAGUCCUACUGCAAUUAACACCUGUUCAGGGACAGGGAAAAAAAAAAGGUGAAUGAACAAACAUCUAGCUUAGAGUGGACCUGACAAUUCCCUGACCUAAAUUAUACUGAGUAGUGUUUCCCAAAUUUCUGUCUUGAUAAGAAUUACCCGGGGCAGUUGUUAGUUUUUGGUUCCUUCUCAAGAAUGAUAUGAUUCUCUAGGUUUAGGGUAAAACCCAGGAACCUGACUUUUUAACAAGUACCCAGGUGACUCUCACCUUCAUAGAACAGUGAGAAGAUGGCUAGGAGGUGAGGAUUAUAAAAUUGGCCAAGCCACUAAUUAAUUAGAGUGAACAGAUAUUUUCUGCUAUGGGGAAGGAGAGAAGAAACUACAAAUAAGAGGCUGGAUCUGUGGAGGUGAAUAUAUCAUGGCCCCUGUCUGCACAGGUUCACUAACUUUUGGAAGACAUCUGUGUACAUAACAUAUUUGAAAGCAAGCGGACUAUGCUCCCAUUAGCUGGGCAGUAAUGGACAAAAUUGUGGGGACCUGGGAAAAUUUUGUGACGAAAGUGUGCUCUGAGCUAGACUAUUCUUUAGACUUCUAGAUUUUUUUUCAGGUGACUAAAAAAGAAACGGAAUUCCAGGAAAGAAAAAUUGUUUUAAGCAAAGAAAGAUAGGUAGAAGAUGCUCACAUUGGUUGUAAUAAAAGCAAGAAAACUGAGUUAAUCCCAUCCACACCUCCAGGGCAUGCCCACUAAGAGGGGGGAGGUAGAAAAGGCCUGGUGGAAACGAGUGGACUGUGCAGAAUCUCUGACCAGAUUAGUGGAGAGAAUGGGUGAGAAGAGAGAAUAGAAACCUGAAAAAUCUACUAGGACACUAGGAGCCCCUGAGACUGAGAAAGCCCAAGGUUAGUUCCUGCCUCAGGACCCCGGAUCCCCAUACUUUCAGGGCUCACCUUCUGACUCCAUAACUGACCAGCAAAUUUAGCCCCAAUGUGCGACAACCCUCCCUAAUCCACCUUGAUAAAGGGUAGAGACCUUGAGUUCCCCUCCUGAGACUUUAAACACUUCCUGCCUGCUCUGGUCCCUGCCUACCUAUGGAGCAUCUUUUCUUCGUUCAAACAGCCUGUUUGUUUCUGCAUCUGGAACGCUUUCUUUUUUCCAUCAGCAGUUUCCUCUGCCCAAAACGUUUCCUCUCCUUUUCAUUUGAUUAACUUAUUACAUUCGUCAGGUCUCUGAUUAAACAUUUUUUACUCAGAGAAGCCAUUCCUGCUCCCUUAGUCUAAAUUGUCCUCUACCUAUUAUGUCUCAGACACUCUGAAUUUUUCUUCAUAGCACAUACAAAUAUUUAAGAUGACAUACUCAUUUGUGUUGGCUCUCUCCCUUCACACGUUAGCUCUGAGACCCUCACCACUCUUUACUCAGUACCUAGCCCAGAGCACUCUUUCACCACUAAUAUUUGUUUAAAAAAGAGGAGGAGGAGGGGAUUGUGACCUUAAUCACCAUUAGCCUGAGGCCUUGGCACAACCCCCUUCUCCAAGGUCCUCUGCAUUCUCAAGACCCUAAUGCCUAUCCUGUUUCCUCCUCCAGAACUUGUACCUGAGUUCAAAUCCUGGUGUCAGUAUUCACUAGCUGUGGUACAUUGGAUAAAUCGUCUACACUGCUUAAAUCUCACUUUCCUUUCCCUACAAAUCAAGAUGAUAACAGUUCCUACCUCAUAGGGUUGUGAGGAGGAUUAUGAAAGAAUCCAUGUAAAACAUAUGAAAGAGCUCCUGGAAAGUGGUGAUGGAUGAAGGUUAGCUGCCAUUAUUACUGUUGCUAAUAACUAAUAACCUGUAAGAUUCAAGCUACUGGGCAUUUUUCCACAAGAAAGUCUUCAUUUUAUUAAUAUUUAAAAAGAGAUGUUAUAAAAUAAAUAAACUUGCAUUUUGUUAAUAUGUAUAAGGAGAUCUUUUAAAUCAAUAGGAAAAUGAAAUUUAAAAAUGGGCAAAGAUUAUAAACAUGUAAAUUCACAGAAAAAAUGUUUAAAAAGUUUUGAAUAUAAAUUAUCAGAGUAGAAAGAAGGAGAGAAAGGGGCACAGUCUGGCUCUCAGAUGCUCCCACAUCUUCACUCUUAAAGUUCUUCCCUUUAGUGUUUGGGAAGAAGGAAAAGCAAAAAAGCCAGGGCCUCCUUCCUUGGCGGGGUGAUGCUGUGCUCCCUUCUGUCUGAAGGUUACUGCUUCUCUGCUGCCCAUGCAGCUGCCAUGAUGCCCUCCAUGAGUGCUGGCUCUUACGGAGCACACACAUGGGGUUCUUUGGAGGUCACAUAUUUCUCUACCUCUUAUCAUGCCCGUGAAAACCCUCCUCACCAGUAAUUUAGUUCUGGGACUCACCAGUGAUGUCUCAUGCAUGCUCUUCAUGCACUCCCAUGUGGCUCUUGCCAUUGUUUUCUCCAUUCCAUUCCUUGGACACUUCCACUGUCCUAGGACACUGCUGUCACUUCUGCCAGGGUUUCGCUACCUAGGAACCAUGACAUUUUCCUCCAGAUGUGUGGAGGACGCCCUACUUCUGACUCUGUGCCACGCAUAUUCUAGAUAUGUAAGGUGGUACCAUUCCUGAAAGGGGGUUCUGCAAUGGACUUCUCUAAGGAGAUUCAGUUGCUAAAGAAUCUAAAGAGCCCACCCGGAAGUGGUCCCAGAGCAUGAGCUGGGGAGAGUAUUGGGCUUACGACCCUCCAUUCCACCUUCAUUCCUUUUUUCCCUCUUUUCUUCAGUUUAUUCCCUUCUUAAGGUGUGAUUCAGUGGGUCAGCAUCCUCUAGGAGGUUGUUAGAAGUGAAGAAUCUCAGGCCCAUCCCCAGCCCUUCUAAGUCAGAGCCUGCAUUUUAACAAGAUCCCGAAUUAAUUACUAUACCCAUUAAAGUUUGAGAAAUUCUGAUAUAUAGGACAGAAUUUUUGAAUUCUCCCACUCCAGUUCUUCAUAUCCAAGCUCACUUUACCUCCCAGAGCUUCAUUCCCCCUUUUGCAUCAUAUGCUCUUCAUCGUAUGGGUAUUUCUUGGUUGCUGAGCUGAUUGGCCCAUAGUGUCUGCCACAGUAGUUCCUCAGGGAUUCCAUUUAAGCAGCCUCACAUCUGUUCCCUGUACACUCCCUAAUAAUUAAAAAAAUAACCCAACCCAGCAUGAUAGGUUAUCAUAUACCGACAAAUGGUGGAUUUUGAUGGAAUGUUGAAAUCGCCUGCACCUAUAACUCCAUAAUAAUCUUCACAUAAGUUUUGUGAUAUUUCAGUAUGUUAUGGAGGGGAAAAUGAUUAUACUGCACCUACUUUAUUAACAAAUGCACACAUUCACUAUGCUUAGAAACAAACAGCACAAGUCACAUUGAAAUUGUACACGCACGUGGUCCUUGAAGAUAAUAGUCUCCUCGGCCCAUAACUUGUAUCAGGCGUUGGUUUGGCGACCUUAUUGCUCUCUGCAGAGAGGUUGUAAAGGGCUCUAGCUGGUGUCCAUCUGCCACUCCAAAGAGCAGAGUCUCUAGAACUCACCCACAGUUUCUUUGGUAUGCUUCCUGGGACAUAAUUCUCACAAAACACAAGGGACUGCCUUGUGAGUUUUUAGAAUUCACUGCAUCUUCUGUACGACUUGAUUUCUCUGUGGUUUUGACAAGCUGGAUGAACCAGCACUGAUUUUUCUUUUCCUCCUCUGAUAAACAAGCUUUUAGCUCUACAACGUUCAGUCUGAUGAAUCGCAUGGAAUAAAGUAAGAAACUAGAAGACCCUCAAAAAGACGUGAAAACUUGGUAUUUUCCUGCCUGGCUGCUGUGCCCUUUGUGGUUGACAAGUUUCUUAGAGCCUUCCGGGCCUUUUUCUGGGUGGGCUGUCUAUCCUGGGGAUGGAAAUUUCUGAAGUCCUGUUGAACCACUUUUGGGGGACAGUGGUUGGCUUACCGGAGGUUGGGAAAGAGGCCGUCUUCUUGGAGUGAAUUUGUACAGUUGCUACGUUAAAAGGGUACAUUUGAUAGGGUGUGAUCAUAAAGCAACUUUACUUUUUUUUUCUGCCCCCUCUGCUCAGGGGCUAGUUCCUUCCUUUCUCCUGGAUAAAAUCUCAGGUGGAUUCCUGUAGCUUUUCCAGACACUCUUAGAAAAAUUUAAAAGUCCUCCAGUCAAUUUUAGUCAUAAAAUAGUCUCAUUUCAGUCACUGAAACGUCCAGUCCCAUGUAAUAGUUAAAGCUCUGAACUCUAUUUAAGGCAAAUAUUUCUCCUUUCUCUAUUCCCCCAUCCCAGGCUGAGUCAGGCUGGAAGCCUGCAGUGAAGUGAGGGAGGUCGGGGCUAGGAGGGUGGGGGUGGCACAGCUGGCUUCUUUGUUUUCCCACCUAGGCUUCUACUCCUCUCCCACUCCCUCUAGGGUGUGGAUCCUGCAAGACUUGGGGUGGAGGUGGGAGAAGGGAAGACGGAGAGGAGGAUGUGCCUGCAUUUAGAGAAACUGUAGCGCUUGGUGGUGUGUUCCAGGAUCUUGGUGGAUGUUCCCUAGGGACUCCUCCUCUGAUGGGCACUUGUGUGGGGCCCUUGGAGAUGACUCCACUGAAAACACUGGACUGUGAGCCCUCCUAUGCUGGCCACUUGUUACACUGGCUUCUGCUUUUGAUUUCAACCCGGUGUUGCCUAGCAGCCUCUAGCAGAAAGCCCACUGUGGUGGGGGCUCCUUGAAAACAACCCUGAUGCUCACUUUCUCUCUUCCCGCCUCUGGUCGACAAGGAACGUGCUCUUCUGCUCUGUGUUUAGUGGUUUAUGCAUUCCUCUUCAUCCUGCCACCUGACUCCAGCCACAGCCUUUUGCCUUUAAUCUUCUCCGGUAUGGGUCAAAUACCAGUCGCUUUGGCCCUGUCAGUUCUAAGGGACGCCUUUUUCCAAUUCAUCUUUCAAAGCUCCCUCUCACAAGCCUUGAGGUGAGCAGGAGCUCAGCCUCCGCAAGGGGGAGGAGGUGGGCGGGAAAACGCUGCAGUGCCUCCAGCUCUUGUUUCCAAAGUCUCUCUUUUCAAGUUCUUCAACCUCCAACCUUGAGGGGUUGAGGGGUGGGUGUCAAUCUGAGGUUCAUAAAACUGUCUCCAACCAGCUCCUUUGCCCGUCCUUGCACUAGUCUCACAACCCACUUUGAAGUAAGAGGAUUUGCCACCUACUGUUUUUUAAUUUGCUUCUGAGCCUCAGCUGCAUCUAAGACAGAGAGCCCGUUUUAACAUCAGGUCCCGCUGUAGCUGCACUAACACCCAUGAAGUUUAAUUUGAAAGCCCCCAGAGGACAAGGAAGCAACUCUUCCUUUUUCAAGCACUGUUUUAGGUGUAUGAGUGACAGACUAUCUUUUUUUUCUUUCUGUUCUUAUUAACAAUAUAUUUGUAAUACUUAUUACGCUAUAGCUUUGUGAGGAUUUCUUUUUUCUUUUUUUUUUGGUUUCAACUCGCAGGGAAUGAAAUUGGGAAAUGAGAUUGGAGAAUUCACCACGGCUCUCAAAUCAAAAAGAAUUUUUACAUAGGAGUUUCAGAGAAGUUGGAAACACCUGUUAUUUUUCUUGCUGAAAGCAGUUCAAGGCAAAUGCUUUCAGAUUUAUGUUUUCUUUUUACGUUGGAAACUGAAGUCAGAGAGACUUAAACAACUUCAAGUUAAAAAUUUUUUUGUUUUGUUUUUCGCUUUUCACAUCAGGCUUCAGAAACAGGGGGAAAAUGUUGAAACAUGGGAGGAAGGUUGAUUUUUCUUUUCCAUUGCGUGUGGCCAGGCUGCUGAUCUCGUGGGUACUGGCUGAGAGUGCCUGGCCGGACUGGAUGAAAGCUGUGGGGCUGAUGGGGCUGGGGAAGCGUUGUUAACGUAGUCCCAGAGUAAUGAGGCCAGGCCUGGGAGUGACUGAAUUAUAGGGAGGUCUGGUAGGACCAUAUCUUGCUUGCAUAAGGAGUGGCAUCAGCAUUUCAACCUUAAUGGUAACCUCAUGUAGGGAAAAAUUUGAGCUUCAAUAACAUUAUGCGUUAUCUAUAGUAUGCCUUUCCCAUUAUCUGAUUCUGAUUCUAUUGGAGCUAUUGUACAACUCAGAGUUAAUGCCAAACACCAGCCCUCCCCCCCAAAAAAAAUAAUUUGACUCCAUUUGCACAUGCAUUUUUCAAUAUUCCUAAUCUAUAAAUGUGUCUGUUCUUUGGAUUCUCCUUUGGACUGGUUAUAACACCUCGUCAGUUUCCUCAUUAGUGAGUUAAACAAAAUCUUUAAUAUGUAUUUAUAUAUUUGUCUAUUUUGAGCCCAAAUCAAUUAAGAGAAUAGCUCUUUGAUACCAGGACUGAUGAGAUUUGGAGUUUCUGUAUUUACUCUUGAUUCAUGACUGAAAUUACAGAAUUGAAGCUCUCUUCAUCUAUCUCUGAAUGUCUAUGUGUCUGUAGUUUAGAAAGGCCUUAUCUCUCAUUGUGUGAGUGUGUAAUAUUUUCCUACCUCCAGAGGGCGUUUAAUAAAUUUGAUUACAAAGUCUCAUGUUAAAGGAGUUCUUUUCUGAUUGGCUGAUAGAGAUAAAUUAGUGCUUAUAUAAAUUGCGUAUUCUUAAAAUUCCCAGAAGGUAGUGAAAUUAAGUUUCUGAUAUUUUUAAUGUGCUACAUUAAAAAAUAUUCUUACAGAAACCAAUUCAAUAACAUUUUAAGUAGACCUUUGGAAAGCGAGACUAGUUUAAUAUUUGGGAUUUAAUAAAAACAGCUGUAGGGGCCAGGCAUAGUGGUUGAGUUCAUGCACUCUGCUUUGGCUGCCUCAGGAUCACAGGUUCGGAUCCCAGGCACAGACCUAGCAUGGCUCGUCAAGCCACGCUGUAGCAGCAUCCCACAUACAACACAGAGGAAGAGUGACAUGAAUGUUAGCUCAUCAACAAUCUUCCUCAAGCAAGGAGAGGAAGAUUGGCAACAGAUGUUAGCUCGCCGGGACAAUCUUCCUCACCAAAAACAAAAACAAAAAAAACCUGUAUUUUCUCUGAUUUAUUCGUGUUAAGUAUAAUUCCUAACAAUAUUCUCCUUGGAUAUGUUUUUUCUAAACUUACGCAUGUUUACUGAUGAAAUAAGUUAACAUUACUCAUAAUGUUUAAGAUUAUGAAAAACGCAAAUUUGUGUUUAAUUGAAUGAUUAUUCAGAAAAACUUUUUACCUUUUUUAUUUCAACAGCAAUUUUGUUUUGUAGUAUGUCAGCUUGAAAGUAAUUUCCAAGAGCUUUAGGUAACUUAAAACCUUGGACUGAUACUAAAGUUGAGUUAAUUAAUGGAUAAUCUUUGGAUGACACGAUCAUUCUUAAAACAGAAUACUGAACGUUGAUCACUGAGCAUAAUUUUAAGUUCAUAUGCUUUUGCUUUGUGUAUUUACAUGCUACAAAAAAGCUAUAUCUUUGGGUCUGUUAAUGAAUGUGUUCAUUUUUGCCACUUUGGUAAGUUGUACUGUAAGGGAUGUGUGUGGCUAUGGAAAGUUAUGUUUUAUGUAUUUGAGCCCUGCUGGUCUGUUAAAAAGCUGAAAAGCUGAUAUGAGACAUAGAGUUCACAGUUAUCCAUUUCCUCACUGCCCCUCAACCUCCACCCCACUCCAGUUUUCUCUGUGAAAUAGAAUUUACUUUGGUUAAAACUUAAUUUAUGUUAAGUUGAAACUGUAUUGAUGAGCAAUAGAGAAAUACAACUUGUGUACAUGCUUGUGUUUUUCAAGAAAAAAGAGUAGUUUUGUCCUAAAGUAAUGCUGCUCAAGGUUUUGUGUAUUUUCUUUGUUUUGUCUCCAAAGCCCCCUUUGCACUCUUCAAAUAUCUUGAGGACCUUAUAAUAGAGUAUUUGUGUGUGUGUGUGUGUGUGUGUGUGUGUGCG
Long non-coding RNA from Equus asinus (donkey), 10645 nucleotides. NCBI's taxonomy places the organism in Eukaryota, Metazoa, Chordata, Mammalia, Perissodactyla, Equidae. The record is from Ensembl.